AAUGGAUACGACAGUCACCACUAAGAAACAGCAGAGAUUAAUAUAUAUGAUGAUUACUCUGGCAUCGUUGAUGGGAGUUGGAUUAAAAAGACAAGAAAAGCAGAAGCCUAUGUUCCAUGUGCAAGUCACAGAAGAAAGUUUAAGAAGUCCCACCAACACUCCAGAGGGGAUUACAGAAGAGCACAAAUGCCAGAAGGAAUGGUCACUGGGGACUACCUUAGAAAACGACUACCACAGUAUUUUCAUUUCUUAAGUG
RNAcentral lists this long non-coding RNA (256 nucleotides) under Homo sapiens (human). Its description in RNAcentral is "HSALNT0373873". The record is from RNAcentral. Lineage: Eukaryota; Metazoa; Chordata; Mammalia; Primates; Hominidae.